RNAcentral lists this small nuclear RNA (135 nucleotides) under Zalophus californianus (California sea lion). RNAcentral's name for it is "U2 spliceosomal RNA (ENSZCAG00015012813.1)". It matches the Rfam family "U2 spliceosomal RNA". Rfam says of the family: U2 is a small nuclear RNA (snRNA) component of the spliceosome (involved in pre-mRNA splicing). Complementary binding between U2 snRNA (in an area lying towards the 5' end but 3' to hairpin I) and the branchpoint sequence (BPS) of the intron results the bulging out of an unpaired adenosine, on the BPS, which initiates a nucleophilic attack at the intronic 5' splice site, thus starting the first of two transesterification reactions that mediate splicing. Lineage: Eukaryota; Metazoa; Chordata; Mammalia; Carnivora; Otariidae. The record is from RNAcentral.
AUUGCUUCUUGGCCUUUUGGCUAAGAUCAAGUGUUAAGAGUCUUAACUAUAUUUUCUGUUGGACUGAAGGUUCUAAUGAUGCAACCAGACCCUUCACUGAUAGAUAGAUAGACAUAUCUAACAUAUAGAUUUCUU